AGAGUUUGAUCCUGGCUCAGAUUGAACGCUGGCGGUAUGCUUAACACAUGCAAGUCGUGCGAGAAAGUAUCUUCGGAUAUGAGUAGAGCGGCGGACGGGUGAGUAACGCGUAGGAAUCUACCUAGUAGAAGGGGAUAGCCCGAGGAAACUCGGAUUAAUACCGUAUACCUCCUUCGGGAGAAAGAAGGCCUCUCUUUGAAGCUUUCGCUACUGGAUGAGCCUGCGUAAGAUUAGCUUGUUGGUGAGGUAAAGGCUCACCAAGGCUACGAUCUUUAGCGGGUCUGAGAGGACGAUCCGCCACAUUGGGACUGAGACACGGCCCAGACUCCUACGGGAGGCAGCAGUGGGGAAUAUUGGACAAUGGGCGCAAGCCUGAUCCAGCCAUACCGCGUGUGUGAAGAAGGCCCUAGGGUUGUAAAGCACUUUAAGUUGGGAAGAAAAGUUAUUGGUUAAUACCCAAUAACCGUGACAUUACCAUCAGAAUAAGGACCGGCUAAUUCCGUGCCAGCAGCCGCGGUAAUACGGAAGGUCCAAGCGUUAAUCGGAAUUACUGGGCGUAAAGCGCGCGUAGGUGGUUUAUUAAGUCGGACGUGAAAUCCCCGGGCUCAACCUGGGAACUGCAUCCAAAACUGACUCACUAGAGUACGAUAGA
This 652-nucleotide ribosomal RNA is filed under the name uncultured Gammaproteobacteria bacterium. RNAcentral's name for it is "bacterial SSU rRNA". It matches the Rfam family "Bacterial small subunit ribosomal RNA", at positions 8 to 655 of the family's 1533-position model. The record is from RNAcentral. Lineage: Bacteria; Pseudomonadati; Pseudomonadota; Gammaproteobacteria.